Monopterus albus (swamp eel) is the source of this 962-nucleotide long non-coding RNA. RefSeq lists it as uncharacterized. NCBI's taxonomy places the organism in Eukaryota, Metazoa, Chordata, Actinopteri, Synbranchiformes, Synbranchidae. The record is from RefSeq and is a predicted model, not a curated record. The transcript has 3 exons.
CUAUUUCAGCUUAUUUUUAUCUUCUGUUUUACUUAAUUCCUUUUGGUUUGUCUUAUGUAAAACAAUCUGUUGUUUAAAGAUGCUUAAAAAUGAAACCUGCCACGAGUAAAGCUCAAUUAAAUUCACGUCGAAGUAAACCGCCUUGAUGUCAACUCCUACUUUAUUCUGACCAACUGACACGAACAAUUUCAGUAUGAACAUGCUCACAGCAGACAUGUCUAAUAGCUUUGUCCUGGAGGCAGGUCGCCAUCAGACGCCGCUGCUAAGUCAGAUUUCCUUGUGUUAAAGAAAAACCCCAGAGCAGCAGUUUGACCACAAGAGGGAGGCAGAGCCGCACUGGAACGACCUCAAACCCGCACCUUUGAACAGUUUCACCACAGAAGAAUAUACAACAGUGUGAAAGCCAAGAUGAAACUGGACACUCACCUGUUCCACACGUCACCAUCUUCUUUCCGUAAAGUGCAUUUCAAUAAGUGUGAAGUACAAACUCCUGUGUUCUGACCAAUAGUAACGUUUGACAAACUCUUUACAAUCUGCAGCGCUGUUUACACACUUCACAUAAAACUGUACUGACAACGUGCAGGAGGAUACUCGAUCACUGUUGUCAGAUGAAAACCUUAUAGUUUCACCAGCGUCAGCGCUGCCUGAAGAACAUUCAGUUGUUUUUAAUGAAGACUUGUGACACUUUGGGAGCGAUGCUUUUUGAGUUCUUGGAGACAGAGACGAGUCGCCGCCAGCAGCUGGUUUACUUUCUUUUACCUUAUCAAAGCUCUUCAUGGUUUUGCUACAGCCUGUUUGUCCAACAUGCUUCCAAUCUGUGAAUCAGGAUGAGGCCUCAAGGUCCUGUUCAGUUGUUCCACAGUGCAGGAAAUAAACUGGUGAGGCAGCUUUUAGUGUUGAUCUGAGGGCAGCUCAAAGUGUAGAAACUUAAAACCUGCAUCUUUUUCCUGGACAAUGUUUUG